UGAACCCUUAUUUUCACAUCCAGGGAU
This 27-nucleotide non-coding RNA is filed under the name Rattus norvegicus (Norway rat). The record is from RNAcentral. Lineage: Eukaryota; Metazoa; Chordata; Mammalia; Rodentia; Muridae.